RNAcentral lists this ribosomal RNA (485 nucleotides) under uncultured bacterium. RNAcentral's name for it is "bacterial SSU rRNA". It matches the Rfam family "Bacterial small subunit ribosomal RNA", at positions 10 to 523 of the family's 1533-position model. The record is from RNAcentral.
AGUUUGAUCCUGGCUCAGAACGAACGCUGGCGGCAGGCUUAACACAUGCAAGUCGAACGCCCCGCAAGGGGAGUGGCAGACGGGUGAGUAACGCGUGGGAAUCUACCGUGCCCUGCGGAAUAGCUCCGGGAAACUGGAAUUAAUACCGCAUACGCCCUACGGGGGAAAGAUUUAUCGGGGUAUGAUGAGCCCGCGUUGGAUUAGCUAGUUGGUGGGGUAAAGGCCUACCAAGGCGACGAUCCAUAGCUGGUCUGAGAGGAUGAUCAGCCACAUUGGGACUGAGACACGGCCCAAACUCCUACGGGAGGCAGCAGUGGGGAAUAUUGGACAAUGGGCGCAAGCCUGAUCCAGCCAUGCCGCGUGAAGGACGACGGCCCUAUGGGUUGUAAACUUCUUUUGUACAGGGAUAAACCUAUUUACGUGUAAAUAGCUGAAGGUACUGUACGAAUAAGCACCGGCUAACUCCGUGCCAGCAGCCGCGGUAA